Felis catus (domestic cat) is the source of this 2634-nucleotide long non-coding RNA. RefSeq lists it as uncharacterized. The record is from RefSeq and is a predicted model, not a curated record. NCBI's taxonomy places the organism in Eukaryota, Metazoa, Chordata, Mammalia, Carnivora, Felidae. The transcript has 4 exons.
CGGUAACCCCCACCGAUGCUUUGGGCUCUUGGGUCUUUCUCUGUCUCAGCUCCAGCACCUACAGAUGGCAUGAAGGGGCCUUGCAGAAAUGGAAUCAGGGCCCAGACCUGUUCAGACUCCUUAGGGAUGAUGAGGUCACAAAUGGCCAGUCCCCGCCCACGGAUGGGGUCCCUGCUGCAUUGCUUUCACCAUAUUUCUUAAAAUGCAAGCAUAUCCUUCCCCUACUGUCUACCUGGAGAACAGAUUUCUUUCUGACAGUGUCUGAUGUGUGCAUUUUACACCCUGUGUCACACUGGCAGCUUUCCAGGCCUGUGAUCUCAGGGGAUGUUUGAGGCCCAGGAGAGGCCAGUGGUCUCUGUUCCCUUUGCAGUCUGGAACUGGAAGGGAUUACUGAGGUGGGGAAGGCUGAGAGCUGCUGUUACCAUGGACACGGUGGCCGUGGGGACCGGAAACCACCGACUAGCCACAGAGAAGAGCCGUGAACUCCAUUGUCACGGGUGCCAUGGGGGACCCUGGGUGGAGGGGCAUGAGCUGGGGCCCCAGGCAGCUUCGAGAAGGAGGCUGUUGAGGCAUUCUGUGGGUGGAGUCAUUCAUCCAGCACACACGUUGGGCUUCUGCUCCGUGGAGGUGCCAUGGGAGGCUGGCUGUGCCGUGGACACUGACAGGGGAGCAGGUCCUCCUGGGUGUCUGUGUGAACACACCCACGAUGAUGAACAGGUGUCACAGCCUUUCGGAAAGGGAACAUAAAAGUCACUGGAAAGUUCCGGCUCCUGCCACCGUCGGGCCUCUUUUGAGGCUCCACGCACGACUCAUUUGUCACCAGAGGUCUCUGCCUCCGUGCUGGCACCGGGAGGGACAGACUGGGGGCUGCCUUUAGGAUUCUGUUAUCAAGAGGAAGUAAAUGUGUCCCCUGUGUCAGGAGAUUUCCUGGGCAUGGAGUAAGAGGUCCGAGGGCGGGAGGAGUCAGAGAACAAAAGGCACUUCUUCAAGCCUCAGGCUCAGUCCUUAUCUGCAGCCUCCAAGUGUUCCCUCGGUGGCAGUACCUUUGGUACCCUCCCCAUCUGCGGGUGGAGACGGUGACGGACAGCAGCCUCUGGUCUCUGCAGCUGCCGCAUGGGAGGUGCCUUCCAGAAGGAUGAAGAGUCAUUCUUUCUAGGGAUGAGGUUCAGGGUGGGGUGCAGGGGCUUGAAGGUUUCGGGUAAGAUUGAGGACCCUUCACCAAGUGGCCUUGGGCCCCUGGAAGUCACUUAUGCCUCUGGGCCUUGCUUUUAUCACCAGUAGAAUGAGCAAAUAGCACAUUUGUCCCGAUAGAGUUGAUCUGAAGAACAAUGGACCUGUGCACGACGCUUUGAAUCGGGCAGGAAGAACCCUCUAGAGCCUCGCUGGAGCAGAUUCGUGUCUCCGGCUCUUGCCCAAUCACAUCCUGGCACAUAGACAGCUCUUGGUAACGCGACGAAUCGUGGGGAAUGCGGGAGGCUCCAGAGAAUCAGAGAUAAGGACACAUUCCAAUUUCAAAAUGGGGAGACAGGCAGAUUCUAGAAACUCUCCAAACCAGAAAGCGUUUGGGUGGCCAGAAUCUGGGAACUCACAGGCUCACUGUAUUCCAUACUGGUUAGACUUACUUGGGAUGCCUUUAAUGUUUGAUCACACAUGUAAAACCAUCAUUUAUAAAUCUAAACAGAUUCUGGAGAGGGUUGAAGCAACAAGCAGUGUUUAUGCUGGAGUGGAAAAGUUGAGUAGUUGGCAUGGUAGCUGCCUUUGGAUGUGGGAUAGAUAUUUCUAUGAAUGGGAAAAAACUCAUUUCUCUGUGCGACCUUGAGGGAAGAAUUGACAUUGUGGAGAAAUAGGUUUUCAACUGAUAAAAGAAAGGAGCUUCUAAAAGUCUGAGCUCUUCAAAGUUGCAAUAGGCCACCCAGCCAGGCAGCGAACAGCCUGUUCCUGGGGCCGCCUCGUUGAGGCUGGGCUUCCAUAGGUAUGACUCAUGCAGAUAGAUCCUUGAUGGGCUGAGUACCCAAGUUACUCAGAAAUGGUACUUGGAUUAAAUGGUACCCAAGUUACUCAGAAAGAGCUGAGGUCUUGGACAGUUAGCACAGGAAAUUUUUGGUGUCAGAUUUUUUUUUUUUUUAAGGGCAGCCUUCUAGCAUUUUCCCAACGGGAAUCCAGUGUGUGCUUCCAGCAUGUGCCUUUCUGCCUGCUGGUCAUUACUGUCCUGUCUCAUUUUAUCAGGACUCCAAAGGAUGAUGCUCAUGUGGUGACGAGGCUUGGCAGUUAGCCAGGCGCUCUCUCCCCGGGGAGCAGGCGCUGGCCUUCGCAGACCCACAGCCCCCAUCUGGAGUCUACGACACCUGCCUUCAUGGCGGGGCUGGAGCUGAGCCUCAGAGAAGCUGCCCGUGUUCUGUUUGCAGCCCUGAAUGUACCGCUUUGUAAAGUUCAGCAAGUCCAGGGGCCAAUCCUACAAUCUUGGUCCUGAGUCGUGUCUGGAGCAUUUUGCCCCACAUCAUUACGCCCAUCCCGCCAGCCUUAGAUGAAAGCAGAGGAGAGAGAAAGAGACACCAGUUAAACAUAGUAGAGCCUCUCUGGUCCAACCUCCUACCUCAGGCUCUGGAAUCAGCACAUUCGUUGGUUCGUGAAACG